This 1137-nucleotide long non-coding RNA is filed under the name Cairina moschata (Muscovy duck). RNAcentral's name for it is "domestica (muscovy Duck (domestic type)) lncRNA (ENSCMMG00000017471.1)". The record is from RNAcentral. Lineage: Eukaryota; Metazoa; Chordata; Aves; Anseriformes; Anatidae.
AUACCAUGUGGUGUCACACUCAGCAAUAAAAGGUGGAAACAGGAAGAAGAGGGGAGGGGUGGGCUCUCGUCUGGAAGACGUCGGUCCUCCUCUCGAACACCGGCUACGUGCGUUGAGGCCCUGCUUCAAGGACGUGGUCAAUCAUCGCUCAUUUGUGGGAAGUAGAGAUUUAGCUCCGGCGUACAGCCUGCCUGCCUGACGUGAAGCUGCUCGAACAACCUCCAACAGACUGAGAGCCCUGUAAAUUGCAUCUAGCCACAGCAGGAGGGUCCCAAUCUGUAACAAAGAUGACAACGUUGUACAUGUAUAUGCAUCGUGUUGUCCAACACUCAGUACAUUAGUUUACAUCUAUGAACAGAAGCCAUGUUGUCAAUGCAGAUCAAGAUGGGUUAAGUACAUGGAUUAUAAGCAAAUAUGAGUAAAAUGCUGCUGCAAGAAGCUCUACUAAUGUUUAACAGCAAGUAAUUAGGACGAGCUUUAUUACCACGACAAAAAUCACUUGCUAUCAUUGCUAAAUGAACAAUGUCAGUGUACAGUCCCUGAAAGCCUCAGAGAUUUAAUGAAAAUAACUUUCAAUACUCAAUUGAAAAAGCCAUUGAGAAGAUAGGCUGAUGCUUUCAGAAAUUCAUUCCUAUUUAGUACUCUGAAUUGCUGGACAUAGCUGAAAACACUAAUCUGGGUUACCAAGAAUAGAGUAAUGGUAGUACUGAGUAGACGUGUAAAGCUCUUUUCCUAACAUUUAAGUUAAGCACAAAAUAGUGUUUGCAAUGAACAGAGCAGCAGCCUACAGUCAAUAAUACAGAAGGAAGCUGUGCCAGCCUCCCAUACCUAAAGGUUACAGGAUAAUUCAGGAAACUAAUAAAUAGGAUGAGUCACUUCCAUAUUUUCUAGUCUGUACCAGGUGUUUCACCCACAAAAUUAAUUUUUUAUUCAAUAGAUCCAAAGUUUACCCACCAUUAUAAAUGGACUAUUUGAUGCCCAAUUAGAUUGGCAAUAUUAAGAUCAUUUUAUUUUAAGCUUCAUAGCUUUUCAAAACACGUACAAAUAAAAUACUCAUUACAAAAUUCCAUUUACUGAAGUUUUUCCAUGAAUAUACAUCAAGCGUAAUCCCAGCACACAGAUAAGUGACUUACAGAA